AACGAACGCUGGCGGCAUGCCUAACACAUGCAAGUCGAACGGGAUCCUGGUUUCGGCCAGGUGAGAGUGGCGGACGGGUGAGUAACGCGUGGGAACCUGCCCAGUGGUGGGGGAUAACUGCGGGAAACUGCAGCUAAUACCGCAUGAGCCCGAAAGGGGAAAGAUUGAUCGCCAUUGGAGGGGCCCGCGUUCGAUUAGGUAGUUGGUGAGGUAACGGCUCACCAAGCCUUCGAUCGANAGCUGGUCUGAGAGGAUGAUCAGCCACACUGGGACUGAGAUACGGCCCAGACUCCUACGGGAGGCAGCAGUGGGGAAUAUUGGACAAUGGGGGCAACCCUGAUCCAGCAAUGCCGCGUGAGUGAUGAAGGCCUUGG
This 374-nucleotide ribosomal RNA is filed under the name uncultured bacterium. RNAcentral describes it as "bacterial SSU rRNA". It matches the Rfam family "Bacterial small subunit ribosomal RNA", at positions 29 to 420 of the family's 1533-position model. The record is from RNAcentral.